RNAcentral lists this long non-coding RNA (1194 nucleotides) under Homo sapiens (human). Its description in RNAcentral is "novel transcript". Lineage: Eukaryota; Metazoa; Chordata; Mammalia; Primates; Hominidae. The record is from RNAcentral.
GCGGCCCCGCCCACGUCAUGGCGCCUGAGGAGAACGCGGGUACCAAACUCUUGCUGCAGAGUUUCGAGCGCCGCUUCCUAGCGGCGCGCACACUGCGCUCCUUCCCCUGGCAGGUGGGCGGCGGGGCGAGCGGAGAGGCCUGCGGGGCUUGCGGAAGUCCAGGGGCAGACGGGAUGGGUCUCCCUGCUGAAACCCCCGGCGCUCCUGCCACCACGAGGCUGUCCACACGGAGCUUUUGGACGAGCUGUACGAGGCGCUGGCAGAGACCCUGAUGGCCAAGGAGUCCACCCAGGGCCACUGGAGCUAUUUGCUGCCCUCGGAAGGCUCGGUCACACUCUCCGAGCACAGCCAUCAUCUCCCACGGUACCACAGGCCUGGUCACAUGGGACGCUGCCCGCUACCUUGCAGAAUGGGCCAUCAAGAACCUGGCAGCCUUCACUAACAGGACUGUCCUAGAGCUUGGCAGUGGCGCCGGCCUUACAGGCCUGUCCAUCUGCAAGAUGUGCCACCCCCGGACAUACAUCUUCAGCGACUGUCACAGCCGGGUCCUCGAGCAGCUCCGAGGGAAUGUCCUUCUCAAUGGCCUCUCAUUAGAGGCAGACAUCACUGCCAACUUAGAUAGCCCCAGGGUGACAGUGGCCCAGCUGGACUGGGAUGUAGCGACGGUCCAUCAGCUCUCUGCCUUCCAGCCAGAUGUUGUCAUUACAGCAGACGUGCUGUAUUGCCCAGAAGCCAUCGUGUCCCUGGUCGGGGUCCUGCGGAGGCUGGCUGCCUGCUGGGAGCACCAGCGGGCUCCUGAGGUCUACAUGGCCUUUACCGUCCGCAACCCAGAGACGUGCCAGGUGUUCACCACCGAGCUAGGCUGGGCUGGGAUCAGAUGGGAAGCGGAAGCUCAUCAUGACCAGAAACUGUUUCCCUAUGGAGAGCACUUGGAGAUGGCAAUGCUGAACCUCACACUGUAGGACUCAUACACGACUCCAACGGGAUUGUUAGAAUCAAAUCACUCUCGUGGGAAGAAUUUUUAUAUGGGAAAGCGGAUAAAACUUUCAUUGGACUGGAAUGUUUGGAGAAUGUUAAAUUCCAAAUCAGGAACCACAAUCUGCCCUCUAAUAAGACAUCGGCUAUCUAAGCAUGUGGGUGCCCCCUUUCUGCCAGCAGUUCUGGUUCUUAAGAAAAUCACCAUAAAUCAGACAU